GAAAUUAGGAUUUCUAUUUUCUGCACUUAUUCUAUAAAUUCAGUAUCAGUUGAUGCAUGAUGAUGAUCAUCCACCGAGCAGCACAUCAUCUUGGAAAAGCAGAUGCGAAUUUCUGCUAGGGAUAAGCUGGUCAAUGCAGGAAAAUCUAAAAGAAAGCGACUAAAAUCAACAUUUGAAGUUCAUCGAAAAAUGAAGAGGAUCAUGCCUUUCUGUUGGAAUUGCUUUUCUGGUUUAAGCAAUCAUUCAGAUCACCCAUGCCUCCACUACGCCACCUGCUGUUGGAUGGCACUGGCCGUCCAAGCAUGUGGAACUGGAAGGACUGUCCGUCAUGGCGGCACAGCUCAUCUCAGAGGAGAAAAGACCAAGGUCCUGCAGGCAAUGAGUUACUAUAUAUGAUAUCAUAUUCCAAAUACAAUUAUUGAACUCAUCAGUUCAGCAGAUCCUACAUAAAAGAGUGGCUUGUCUGCUUGAGCCCGCAUACUACGACGGCCAACUUGCUCGGUGCACGCGUCGGUUGGUCCCAGGUCAGGCCCCUCUAGAUCCCACUGGGAAGCUGCAGUACUGGAUGGAUGAGAACUACGCUUACAAUUGCGAGCACUGCAAGGUAUGCAUGUGUCCCUCUUCCACGGAUGUCAACAUGUCGUUUUUUAUAAGUUUUAGACACAGUCUGAUCUAUGUACUUUGUCCGUUUUUCCUUAGCAAACAAUGCAUUCUGCGAUAAUGAGCAUAAGUCGAACUAUUAUUAUAACAUUGCAGUUUUGUUCGAGUCCAAGUUCCCGACCAUCAUCUCACAUAUAGUGUUCUCAGAUUAGAUCGAUAAUAAUGCAACUUUAUGCUAGAAUGUGCAACAAAACUAUCUUGUUUGUAUCUGUUAACUGUUGAAUCCCCAAGAUGAAUGCCCGUACAAGAAGCUUGUCAAUCCUAAAUUCUUUCUUAGUAAACAUAUUUGAUCACAUAGUUUUCUUUUUUUGUGAAUUCCGAACAUACUACUUGGAGGAAGGAGGGGGCGGCACAGAGAGGGUCCUCACACAGUCCAGUGAUCGACCACGACGACGCGGCCGUGCGGUGGGUACCCACGGACGCCGCUCUGCCGGGUCGGAGGAGGAGUCCAGAUCCGGCACCUCACCAAGGUCGGCGCUGCAUGGUGAGUGCAACUGCCUUGAGAAACCCGGCCCGGCCAUCUUCUCCCCCGAGUUGCUGCCACGGCGAACCCUAUAGGCGCCUCUGCGCCCCAGUCAAGUCUCAUGUGUGCGUUGAUUUAGGAGGAGUGUACUGUUGAGAUCAAUGUCGGGAUCCGCAAGUUUCUAUUGCGUAGCAUCAGAUUAAUAUUGCCAAGCAUGAGCUGGCGGGGCAUAUGGAAGAUAUCCCAUGGGCCAGCAGCUGGAGCCUGGAAGUGGAUGUUAAUGCUCCAUAGCAGAGAGUUUAGGUUUACAGCAAGCAGUGACUACCAAAUUUUCCAUGUAGGAUAUAAACGGAGAUUGUCAUGGAGAUGGUUGCCAUCAGUUCCAUUUUGUUGCACAUCACAAGCCUGCCAUUUUAGGUGUACUUUUGCGGCUGUACUUUUGUUAAUUGAAAGUGGAAUUACCCCAAUUGAUAACCAAAUUUUGUGCUCACUGCCGACAUGGGGUUGACGAUGACGUCCCAGAGCCCUUGCCUCUGCUUGAUGCUGCGUCGAGCAAGAUGAAGCCAUCAGAUACGUGUGGUGUGUAGAGUCCGUUCUAAUCAAUGGAAAGGAAGUGGAGGAAGGGAAAUUGCCUACAGAGUUAUUUACAUUUCAACCUGAUCACAAGGCCAUUAGAGAUUGGACUAUUCCACUCGGUCCGAACUACAUUAGGUCAAUUGUACAUUUUAUUUCAAGUUACGAAGAAUACGAGCUGAGAACAUAUAGGAGCUCUAUGUGGUUUAAAUAUUUUUAGACGAAGUUUGAUGUACUUCUCAUGAAUAUCUUCGUAAACAGAAAUAAUGGUAAACCAUGCACUGCUACAUUAUGUUUCACCAGAAUCACUCUUUAUAAUAUCUUGUUGCUUUCA
Molecule: non-coding RNA, 2030 nt
Organism: Aegilops tauschii subsp. strangulata
Lineage: Eukaryota; Viridiplantae; Streptophyta; Magnoliopsida; Poales; Poaceae
Source: RefSeq, a predicted model, not a curated record